UACGAAGGGUGCAAGCGUUAAUCGGAAUUACUGGGCGUAAAGCGUGCGUAGGCGGUUUGUUAAGUCCGAUGUGAAAGCCCUGGGCUCAACCUGGGAAUGGCAUUGGAUACUGGCGAGCUAGAGUCAGGUAGAGGGUGGUGGAAUUCCCGGUGUAGCGGUGAAAUGCGUAGAGAUCGGGAGGAACAUCUGUGGCGAAGGCGGCCACCUGGACCAUGACUGACGCUGAGGCACGAAAGCGUGGGGAGCAAACAGG
This 253-nucleotide ribosomal RNA is filed under the name uncultured bacterium. Its description in RNAcentral is "partial 16S ribosomal RNA". It matches the Rfam family "Bacterial small subunit ribosomal RNA", at positions 524 to 776 of the family's 1533-position model. The record is from RNAcentral.